This 469-nucleotide ribosomal RNA is filed under the name uncultured bacterium. Its description in RNAcentral is "partial 16S ribosomal RNA". It matches the Rfam family "Bacterial small subunit ribosomal RNA", at positions 28 to 508 of the family's 1533-position model. The record is from RNAcentral.
GACGAACGCUGGCGGCGUGCUUAACACAUGCAAGUCGAACGGAAAGGCCCUGCUUUUGUGGGGUGCUCGAGUGGCGAACGGGUGAGUAACACGUGAGUAACCUGCCCUUGACUUUGGGAUAACUUCAGGAAACUGGGGCUAAUACCGGAUAGGAGCUCCUGCUGCAUGGUGGGGGUUGGAAAGUUUCGGCGGUUGGGGAUGGAUUCGCGGCUUAUCAGCUUGUUGGUGGGGUAGUGGCUUACCAAGGCUUUGACGGGUAGCCGGCCUGAGAGGGUGACCGGCCACAUUGGGACUGAGAUACGGCCCAGGCUCCUACGGGAGGCAGCAGUGGGGAAUAUUGCACAAUGGGCGGAAGCCUGAUGCAGCAACGCCGCGUGCGGGAUGACGGCCUUCGGGUUGUAAACCGCUUUCGCCUGUGACGAAGCGUGAGUGACGGUAAUGGGUAAAGAAGCACCGGCUAACUACGUGC